Molecule: ribosomal RNA, 253 nt
Filed under: uncultured bacterium
Lineage: Bacteria
Description: partial 16S ribosomal RNA
Rfam family: Bacterial small subunit ribosomal RNA
Source: RNAcentral
UACGGAGGGUGCAAGCGUUAAUCGGAAUUACUGGGCGUAAAGCGAGUGUAGGCGGCUUCGUAAGUCGGAUGUGAAAGCCCUGGGCUUAACCUGGGAAUUGCAUUCGAUACUGCGCGGCUAGAGUCGGAUAGAGGGAAGUGGAAUUCCAGGUGUAGCGGUGAAAUGCGUAGAUAUCUGGAGGAACAUCAGUGGCGAAGGCGGCUUCCUGGAUCAAGACUGACGCUGAGGCUCGAAAGCGUGGGGAGCAAACAGG